Molecule: long non-coding RNA, 556 nt
Organism: Ailuropoda melanoleuca (giant panda)
Lineage: Eukaryota; Metazoa; Chordata; Mammalia; Carnivora; Ursidae
Exons: 5
Source: RefSeq, a predicted model, not a curated record
GGUCUGUUUCUCUUUCGUUUCCUCAUCCUCUUGUUUGCUUUUCCUCACCCACCAAGGAGAAUGGCCCAGCAGCAGCUCAGCCCAUGCUUCUUAACCACUCACUCCCAUACAGUCUUGUCCCGUGUCCAUAUCAACAGUGAUCACACAGUAAUUCCCGAGUAGGACCAACAAUGGACUGACACUUACUCUGUGUCCUUUUAGAGUGUACCAAGCGUGUGGUGGAGGACCUUGGCAAGAAAGCACUGUGGCCCAACACAUCCAGGGUGGCCCCAGCACCAUGGGGAAGUGGCUUGUGUCCAUAUCAAGCAACAUUCCAUGAAUAUUCUUGAGCAACAAGAGGAAUGUGCUGACGGGUACUCUGUGUCCUAGAUGCCUUGGAGGAAGACGUCGAUCCCAUCGAAGGAGACAGCGCCGGAGACACACCUCUCGCCACGGUGACCCCAGUACCCAGUGAGAGUGAUGUGACUGAUGAUGGCACUGUCUGGUCAUGGCUUUUUCAGAGUGUUACAGAGGAGGAGGGCCUGCCUCUUGCCAAGGUGAGCUCGCCUGUCUAUCC